This 86-nucleotide small RNA is filed under the name Nomascus leucogenys (northern white-cheeked gibbon). RNAcentral's name for it is "Y RNA (ENSNLEG00000019413.2)". Lineage: Eukaryota; Metazoa; Chordata; Mammalia; Primates; Hylobatidae. The record is from RNAcentral.
UGCAAUGGUAUUGAUAUUUACAACUAAUUGAUCACAAGCAGUUACAGAUUUCUUUGUUCCCUCUCCACUCCCACUCCUUCACUUGA